RNAcentral lists this ribosomal RNA (505 nucleotides) under uncultured bacterium. RNAcentral's name for it is "partial 16S ribosomal RNA". It matches the Rfam family "Bacterial small subunit ribosomal RNA", at positions 28 to 507 of the family's 1533-position model. The record is from RNAcentral.
GACGAACGCUGGCGGCGUGCCUAAUACAUGCAAGUAGAACGCACAGUUUAUACCGUAGCUUGCUACACCAUAGACUGUGAGUUGCGAACGGGUGAGUAACGCGUAGGUAACCUGCCUGGUAGCGGGGGAUAACUAUUGGAAACGAUAGCUAAUACCGCAUAAUAUUAAUUAUUGCAUGAUAAUUAAUUGAAAGGUGCAAUUGCACCACUACCAGAUGGACCUGCGUUGUAUUAGCUAGUAGGUGAGGUAACGGCUCACCUAGGCGACGAUACAUAGCCGACCUGAGAGGGUGAUCGGCCACACUGGGACUGAGACACGGCCCAGACUCCUACGGGAGGCAGCAGUAGGGAAUCUUCGGCAAUGGACGAAAGUCUGACCGAGCAACGCCGCGGGAGUGAAGAAGGUUGUCGGAUCGUAAAGCUCGGUUGUAAGAGAAGAACGGGUGUGAGAGUGGAAAGUUCACACUGUGACGGUAGCUUACCAGAAAGGGACGGCUAACUACGUG